UACGGAGGGUGCGAGCGUUAAUCGAAAUUACUGGGCGAAAAGCGCUGGUAGGUGGCUUGAUAAGCCGGUUGUGAAAGCCCCGGGCUCAACCUGGGAACGGCAUCCGGAACUGUCAAGCUAGGGUGCAGGAGAGGAAGGUAGAAUUCCCGGUGUAGCGGUGAAAUGCGUAGAGAUCGGGAGGAAUACCAGUGGCGAAGGCGGCCUUCUGGACUGACACUGACACUGAGGUGCGAAAGCGUGGGUAGCAAACAGG
RNAcentral lists this unclassified non-coding RNA (253 nucleotides) under uncultured Halomonadaceae bacterium. Its description in RNAcentral is "contains 16S-23S intergenic spacer region". It matches the Rfam family "Bacterial small subunit ribosomal RNA", at positions 524 to 776 of the family's 1533-position model. The record is from RNAcentral. Lineage: Bacteria; Pseudomonadati; Pseudomonadota; Gammaproteobacteria; Oceanospirillales; Halomonadaceae.